UACGAAGGGGGCUAGCGUUGCUCGGAAUCACUGGGCGUAAAGCGCACGUAGGCGGAUCUUUAAGUCAGGGGUGAAAUCCCAAGGCUCAACCUUGGAACUGCCUUUGAUACUGGGGAUCUCGAGUCCGGAAGAGGUUGGUGGAACUGCGAGUGUAGAGGUGAAAAUUCGUAGAUAUUCGCAAGAACACCAGUGGCGAAGGCGGCCAACUGGUCCGGUACUGACGCUGAGGUGCGAAAGCGGUGGGGAGCCAAACAGGG
RNAcentral lists this ribosomal RNA (257 nucleotides) under uncultured bacterium. Its description in RNAcentral is "partial 16S ribosomal RNA". It matches the Rfam family "Bacterial small subunit ribosomal RNA", at positions 524 to 777 of the family's 1533-position model. The record is from RNAcentral.